AUACAAUCAUAUCUGCAACUGCCAGCAAAUAUAUACGCAACCAAAAAUGCAAUUUUGAAAUUUUUUUUGAAAAUUACAUUUAGUUGUAUAAUAAGUUACAACUGGUUGCAAAUGAAAAAAAUGAAAACCCCUCCGGGUCUAUACUAAUAUCAACAUUGAAACCUAAAAAGUAAAUAAAAUAACAAACUAGAAAUCAACUCAAAAGCAACCAACCAAAAGCAAAUCUAAAAAUCAAAUUUAAAGAAUCUCUACUACAACAUGAAAUGGCUCAACAUCAACAUUCUCUUCUCGUCAUUCUUGUUGUCGCCAUGCUUCAUCCUGUCCGCCGGCUAGCGAUACAAUCGCGGCCGCUCUUCGCCGGUGAUGAAGCUCCGAUCCCCAUUAUCGACGAACUCCUUCGUUUUAUUCAAGUCAGCAACAUUUGUCUCUUAUGAUGUUAUCUCAGUUUUUCUUGUUUUGAUUGUGUAAAUUUAUAUUUGUUUUUAAAAAGAUAAAGAGAGUAAGAGGAGGAGAGAUUGAAAAUCAGAGAAAAGAAAAGGGGGCAGGAGAGAACACGAGACAGAACGAAGAAGAGAGCAAUGAGCGAGAGAAACGAGAGCAAUGAGAUGGAAAUAGAGUAGAGAGAGAGAAAAAGGGAUACAUAGAGAGGAAGGGAAAAGAGAGA
Molecule: long non-coding RNA, 664 nt
Filed under: Daucus carota (carrot)
Lineage: Eukaryota; Viridiplantae; Streptophyta; Magnoliopsida; Apiales; Apiaceae
Description: long non-coding RNA (DCAR_LNC000196)
Source: RNAcentral